UGUUGCACUCGUGAAAUUUUCACUCUGAAAUUUGGGAUUCGCGAAAUUUUUUCCCAAAUUACGUAUCUGAUGCGGAAUCCAAAUAAAUGGAGGCGUAUCUGAUGCAGUGUCCAAAUUGAUGGCCGCAUCUCAUCCAUGAGCAAACUUCGGACACCGCGUCGUGUAGGUGUCUGCUCCGCCUCCGCGUCGGUGUCCGCUUCGGGAGCGGGAAACGCGUUCCAAGUGACGUGUCGGAGCCAAGAAUGAUUCUUCAUAUUGUGGUGUGGUUUCUUGAGCGAAACAAGAAGAUAGAAGAACCUCCAAGUUUGAUAAAAAAGAAGUGGUUGGAAUGAUACAAGGGGUGUUGCUAGUUUUUUACGGCAAGAUGUUUGAUGAUUGGAAGAUUAAGAUGCUAACCAUCUUUGGCUUUCAAGAUGCUGCAGAAGUGGUGGCCGAUGAGCUGUCAGAACUGGGGUCGAAGAUCACCGAUGAAGAAAAGAAAAAUUACAAGGUUCAGCAAAAGCUUGAUAGCAGGGAAUAGUUCCUCAUUUAUCAACGUGUGAGUCCCAAGAUCUUCAACAAAAUCUCAAAAGCAGCCAUCGCCAAAGAAGAAUGGGGAAUUUUGGUCAAGACCUAUGAUGAUGGUAAUAAAAUCAAGAAGGUUGUGGACAAGAUUAUGAGAACUUUACCUCCAAGGUUUGACCAUGGAGAUCGAAGAGUUGCAACAUUUGCUUGAAGCGCAUGAUUACAGGAUAAAUGAAAGAAGACACAUCCAAGGACAAGCUCUCCAAGCAAGGUCUGGUUAUAAAGGGAAGAAUAAAGGGGGAAAGAAAAGGCAUAAACAAAAACUUGAUCACAAUUCUAAUGGUUCUGGUGACUCUACAAAGGCUAAAGAUUAGAAGGUGAAUGCUUCUUCCAGUGGAAGGAAGGAGUGGAAGUUUGAUAAAAAGGUUAUGUGUUAUAAUUGCAAAAAAUUUGGUCAUUUUUCUCGACAUUUCUAAGAUGGAUAGGGAGUAAAGAAAAUUUUUUUUUUCAAAGACACUCAAAAGAGUUACCUUUCAUAGUCAUCAUUAACCCUUUCUGCAAUAGGUGACCCAAGCUUAAGAUAUUUGUGUUCAAACCUGGUACAUACAACACAUCUUCGAAAUGUUAUCUCUGUCAUGAGCUGCCUCAUUUAUACUAGCAAAGAAUAAACCGAAAAAACGAUGCAAAUCUAGCACAAGAUGAUAAUUCUGAUUUAGAAGCGAUAAUGUUGAUGGCUCAAACUGGCACUGAUGUUGUGGAUGAAUCAUCUUGUUAUUUGUACUCAGGAUGUUCAACACAUAUGACUAGUAGAAAAGACUAGUUUGUUCGUAUAAAUGAGGCAGCUCAUGGAAGGAUUCACUGAUUGCUAUGGGCAAUGAACAUAUGGUUUAAAAGAUUAUGAUGGCAGAGAUGUCAUUAUCGAAGAUGUGUUGUGUGUAGCAGGUUUGAACACAAAUAUCUUAAGCUUGGGUCAACUAUUGCAGAAAGGGUUAAUGAUGACAAUGAAAGGUAACUCUUUGAGUGUCUUUGAUACGAACAGAAGGUUAGUUAUACAUGCUAACUUGUCUCAAAACAGGACAUUUCGGGUGAGAAUGAGCAUUUUGAAAUGUCAGUGUUUUGCCAGUGCAGUGAAUAGAAAUGAAUGGCUUUUGCAUCUUAGAUCUAGAAAUUUGAACUUCAGAGAUUUACAUCAGCUCAACCAACGAAAUAUGGUGUUUUGAUUGCCUAUUGUACUGCUUCCAGAUGAAUUGUGUAAGGAGUGUAUUCAGUGCAAACAGACAAAGGGAAAAUUUUGUAAAUUUUUACCCUAAAAGGCAACUGAGAAGUUGAAAGUCAUCCAUUCAGAUAUUUAUGGGCUAAUAUUGGUUGAAACCCCUGGUUUUAUUUUGUGGUUGUUGCUUAGAAAAGGGCUUGCUUAUUGCAGAUUUAGAAUCUGUGACUGCAAACAUUCCAUUCCUGAUAUGGAAAGUAGAAGAGGUGCCAGUUGUUUAUAUUAUGCUUUAGCUAUUGAAUUCAUAUUAGUGUAGAAGAAGUCCAAAAGCAUGUCAUUGUUUGUCCAACUAAUUGUGAAGCAUAGCAUUCAAUCACUCUAUUGAAACACUUAAAUCCAAAUUUUUCUUUAAAACUAUAGAUAACUGUAAGUUUGUAGAUGAUAUGAAUUCACUUUCAAUAAAAUAAAAUAAAAUCAAUGGAAAGCACCGAGCCGAAUAGAGUGAUUGAAUUGUUAUGCAAUGGAACUAAUUUAGAAAACAAGAAAUUUUACAUGUCAGACAGAGCCAAAUAAAAGGAGGUAGGAAACCUUUGACUUGUAACUAUUUCCUUAUCUGAAAUGAAAAAGCAUGUGAUAUUUCUUAAUAUUUUGUUCUAUCAACAUGAAUAGCAGAUUUGGUUAAUUGAACCUAGUUUUGAAAGUUUAACAUAAAGGAUCUUAUAUGUGAUCCAGCAAAGAGUGGUACAACUAGAACAAUGAGGAUAAGUAACUCGGAAGUUAUGUGGUAUUGAUGGGAAUCUACCUUCUAAGUGGGAUAGGGCUUUUUAGAAAUAUAUCAUCGAAGGCCUUAAUUUUUUCAAUCAGGGGAGAGUUAGCUAGAGCAUAAAGGAGUGUUGUGUGCUUCUGUUAUAUUGGGAUUGCUCACUCUCAUUCUGUGCCGGAUUACCUAUUCUUCUUUAUGUUAUUUCCUUUGUUUUCUGCAGUACCUGAAAUUCAGUAAAAAAGUCCAAAUUCGUCUGUUUAACAGGUUCUUAUGGAGUUUAAGUGUAUUUAUAAGAGCCUAAUUGGUAUUUACUUAUUCAAUUGUUAUUUUGAAAGAGAUGGAGGAUUGAAGUGUGAGGUUCUGGUUAUCCUUUUCUUUCAUCUGUAUAGGGAAAUACUUUAUGAUUUAGAUUUAAA
Molecule: long non-coding RNA, 2893 nt
Organism: Vigna unguiculata (cowpea)
Lineage: Eukaryota; Viridiplantae; Streptophyta; Magnoliopsida; Fabales; Fabaceae
Source: RefSeq, a predicted model, not a curated record